CGAUCUCAAAUCAAGUAAGACUACCCGCUGAACUUAAGCAUAUCAAUAAGCGGAGGAAAAGGA
Molecule: ribosomal RNA, 63 nt
Filed under: Mortierella sp. VN2-2-4
Lineage: Eukaryota; Fungi; Mortierellomycota; Mortierellomycetes; Mortierellales; Mortierellaceae
Description: partial large subunit ribosomal RNA
Rfam family: Eukaryotic large subunit ribosomal RNA
Source: RNAcentral